This 1867-nucleotide long non-coding RNA is filed under the name Mus musculus (house mouse). RNAcentral describes it as "long non-coding RNA chr6:120436595-120438462". Lineage: Eukaryota; Metazoa; Chordata; Mammalia; Rodentia; Muridae. The record is from RNAcentral.
UCUGCCUCCCAAGAGCUGGGAUUAAAUGCGCCACUACUGCCCGGCUAAUACCGCCUUUCUUAUUUGAAAGAAAAUAAUAGUUUUAGUUUUUAGAAACUUGAAACCAGUGUAUACAUUGAAAAAAAUAGAUUUAAAAACCAUAGAAUUUUCUUUUUGGUAGGUAGCAGAUACAUCUGACUUAGUAACUUUUUUUUUUAAGAUUUAUUUAUUAUAUGUAAGUACACUGUAGCUGUCUUCAGACACACCAGAAGAGGGCAUCAGAUCUCAUUACAGAUGGUUGUGAGCUACCAUGUGGUUGCUGGGAUUCGAACUAAGAACCUUCAGAAGAGUAGUCAGUGCUCUUAACCGCUGUCAUUCUCCUGGUAACAUUUUUUUUACUAUUGACUAGUAUAAAUGAAGACUUGAUUCAUUUAAUAGGCUGUCAUUAUAAAACAGCAUAGGAUUUCAAAUCCCAUACAAAGCUGGUCAUUUUUCUAAUUCGCUUACAGACUCCAAAUACCCAAAACACUCCUCUUCAGCUCCCUUGCAAUAGUUGGCAUUUAUAAGUGCUGACUUUCCUUUAUUCUACAGCCUGUUACAUCCUAGUUUUUCUCUGGUUACAGCAGGAUCUUUUCUUUAUUUCUUUGAGCGGGAUGGGGGAUGUUCUAUUUUGUUUGAGACAGGGUUUUCCUAUAUAGCCCUGGGUGUCCUGGAACUCACCCUGUAGACCAGGCUGGCCUUGAACUCAGAGAUCUGCCUGCCUCUGCCUCCUGAGUGCUGAGACUAAAGGUGAGCACUACUAACUACUGCCUGGCUGUUAUCAGUUUCAUAACUAUACUUUUGCUUUCUUCUGAGGCAAAACAUGGAAUUGAGUUUAGUUGGGAAUAAUUAAGUUGCUCUGAAUUUACAGGAAGCAAUAUCACAGACAGCAGUGGUCUGAAAUACAUAGGAAUCAUCUAGAAUGUCUUAAAGUCCACACUUAGUUCUUGGAAUAUGUACUUUCCUUUGCUUAAUAAACUUAAAAUUUUGCCACAGUGAUCCCAACACUCUGGAGGCUGAGACAAGAGGAUCUCAAGUCUGAGCCUGGCAGAGUGCUGUACUGAAAGAUGAAGAUGAGGCUAACCUAGGCUACAUAGUAAGACUGUAUGCUUAGGAGGGAACACCUAAAGAAUUUAAUUACAGGAGGGGAAAUGAACAGAUAUUUAAGAACAAUACAAAUAUUUAAGAAUGCUUAGAACAGAAAUGAUAAAAGAUAAUAAAAGCCAAAUCGCAAUAUUUUAUAAUUUUUCCAUCCUUUAUUAUAAACCCAAAACUUACUGACAUGACUUGUUUUACAAGCUAUGGAAGCAUUUUAAAACCACUCACUUUCCCUAAAUAAAACGUAUUUACCUAGCCAAGGCCUCCUUUGUCCUCUGGCUGUGUUAAGGGACUUCUUUGAUCCCUUCAUAAUUCUUUGCUCCAAGGUCUAAUAAAACUUAUGAUUUUAAGUGCCUUCCUGUAUUGCCACCACAGUAACCAGCCUUUGUAUUGUGAAGGGGGAUGCCCGUAGCCCUAUUGUAAUGAUAGAUCUUGUCUGAUAGGACAUUAAGUAUAAGGUUGCCUUCUGAACAGAAAAGCCUGAAGUUGCACUACUUUCCUACUUUACUAUUAGCGCCAAGGUUUUAAGUCACCAAACUAAAGCCCUUUUGUGCCCCUCCUAGUCACUGUAGGGUCUGAAGGAUCAGUGUUUGCCUGGCAUCUGCCGCUGACACCUGUCACUUUCUCAGACUAAUUUUAAACCCCAGAGUUAAUCUAUUGACCUGUGUCUUUGACUGUUGUAAUUGGUUAACUUGUAAGAUUUGACCUCUGAUAUUUGCUAACUUUUUAUAGGGAGUUGUAUUUGUAACGG